Molecule: non-coding RNA, 1195 nt
Organism: Meleagris gallopavo (turkey)
Lineage: Eukaryota; Metazoa; Chordata; Aves; Galliformes; Phasianidae
Source: RefSeq, a predicted model, not a curated record
AUAUACUUCCUUGUGCAGGAAUGGAAGCAGGGAGUUGCAGAAAAACAGCAUAUCUGAACAGCUAUCUGGACAACGUUCAAGAUUUCGUAUUAGUGCCUGGUCCUGCAGCUCGCCUUCGACCUAAUAAUGUUCCAGAUGAGUAUUUCUCUUGUGACUAAUUCUUACAUAUGAUUCUUCCAGUUAAUUAUGAAGGCAUUGUCAGAAACCUCACAUGCAUAGAACCAAAUCAGCCUUUCAAAGCUUAUAUGAAACAGUUUCUACCCAAGCGUUUCCAUUAUGCCAAUAAUGACCGGAUUGAACCACUGCACUUUUAUUUAAAUUCUCAAUGGCAACUAGCUAGGAAACCACUUGAGAUUAAAAGUUGCACAGGUGGAUUCCAUGGCUCAGAUAAUCGCUUCCCAAGUAUGCAGGUAAGGUUUGAAAACUUACAUUGGCUUUUGUUUUUAGCAUCAUUUGAUUAAGGACGUUGUGUUGCUGAAGCUUGAGAUUUAUUUAUUUAUUGUUGAGAUCUGGCACUAUUCAAUCCAUGCCCCAGUGGUUUGACUUCUGCUGAUGAGAAUAUAAAGAUGUGCCCAUUUUUUUUGUUGUAACAUUAAAAACAGGAAAAGAGAACUUAUCUUUUCAAAUCUUCAAAUAUAGGAAUCAUAAAAUACAAGAGAAUUCAAAUUGGAAGGGAUCUCAGGAGGUCUCAUAGUCCUAUCUGCAGCUCAAAGCAGAGUCAGCUGUGAGAUCAGACAAAAUUACUCAGGAUUUCAUGCAGUUGAAUCUUGAAAACUCUUGAGUACAGAGACUGCACAACCUCUGUAGGCAGCUCUUUCCACUGCCUUACUGCUCUUUUGUCUUUAUGGUAUAAAUGGGUUUACCAAUAGCUGGAUUGGAACUUUCUUGUUUCAAGUUAUGCCUAUUGUCCCUCUGCCUCCCACCACGUAGCACUGAGGAGCAUGACCCUUAACAGCAUCCCUUAGCUGGUCAAGUCUGGUCUCUACUCACUUACAGAUUUUGGUCGCAAGCACUAUAGAGUGACAGCCUGUCUAAUGCUUACAUCUCAGAAAAAGAACAGAAAAAGAAAAAAGCCUCUUUUUUCCACAUAGCCAUGAAAUCUGAGACAAUUGAAUUGUUUGCAAAGAGCACUGAGAUGUGUUGAAUGCAAAGCAUGCAUCAUUGUGCAGCACAGAUGGAUGCAAGCUUUACUUAA